AAGGAUGAUUACAUUGAACUUCGAAUCAAUGACCAGCUUGCUCGUUUGUACAUCAUUCCAGGAAUUCCAAAAGACACAAAAUUUAACCCAAAAACUAGAAGAGAAAUUCGGAACAUUGAGUGGUUCUCUAUUGAGAAAUUGCCUUGUCAUAGAAAUGAUAUGACCCCCAAAUCCAAACUUGGUUUGGCACCUAACAAAUUUUUUAUGGCCAUUCCCUUUAUCAGACCAUUAAGGGACUGGCUUUCUCGAAGAUUUGGCGAUUCCUCAGACAGUGACAAUGGAUUUUCCUCAACUGGUAGCACGCCGGCUAAACCCACUGUGGAAAAAUUGAGUCGAACCAAAUUCCGCCACAGUCAGCAGUUAUUUCCUGACGGUUCUCCUGGUGACCAGUGGGUAAAGCACAGGCAACCACUGCAGCAAAAGCCAUAUAAUAAUCAUUCUGAAAUGUCUGACCUUUUAAAAGGAAAGAAUCAAAGUAUGAGGGGAAAUGGCAGAAAACAGUAUCAAGAUUCACCUAAUCAAAAGAAAAGAACAAAUGGGCUUCAGCCAGCAAAGCAGCAGAAUUCUUUGAUGGUAAGAGUUAUAGCUGUCACACUAAGUAGGCAGUUCAUCCUCUGAAGAGUGAAACAAGGGCAUUGCCAAAGCACAGGAAUGUUACUUGUUUUGUUCUUAUUUUAAUUGAUAUACUAGUAGGAUUUUUGUGUAGCUGACUUGUGCACUAUUCACACUAAAAAUCUCUGGCUGCUCUUAAUUACAAAUGUAUAAUGUUGAUGCAAUUGUACAUCUAAUUUUUUAUGUGGCUGUUUAUUUUAAUAUCAAUGUGUACUCAAACCUGUUC
RNAcentral lists this long non-coding RNA (838 nucleotides) under Homo sapiens (human). RNAcentral's name for it is "long non-coding RNA NONHSAT103255.2". The record is from RNAcentral. Lineage: Eukaryota; Metazoa; Chordata; Mammalia; Primates; Hominidae.